CUGAUCCUGCAGCUCCUCGAGGGUGUCAUCGCUUUCCCCCUUCCCAGACCCAGCACACCCUGCCUGCAUGGCGCUGCGCUGCACCUUCACUCUGGUCACGGGUCUGGCAGUCAGCUCACCAAUUCCUCCUGCUUCCCUGGGACUUGCCGGCUUUUAGCACUGCAAUUCACUCAGCAAACUGGGACUGUUGGUCACCCUACCUGGCAGCCAGUGAUAAGGUGAGGGCCACUCCUGGGAGGGAGGACACCUGUGGGGAAAAUUCUUGUGUUAUUUAUUUCUCCUUCGGGAUAGGGUGCCUGCAGCGCUUCAUGGGAGGGGGUGGGCUGAUGCUGCGGGCUCAGAAGUUUCAAGGGCAUCUGGGGAGACCAGAUAUUCAGAGACCUUCUAGAUGUGCCUGUUCCAUGUAUCAGGGACGCAGGUUUUCCCAACAGGGCUGGUGUCAUUGGCAUGACAGACCUGCCUUGGCUGAGCGUUCACCUGUCUUUGGAGUUCAGCCACCUUAGCAAGUCCUGGGUUUGUUCUUCAGACUUUGCUGCUCGCCCAUUGCCUGGAUCGGGGGCUACUUUGUAAACCACCAGGAAGACUCCAGUGUUUCUGGUUAAUUUUUAGAUGUUUGUUAAUUGCUCUUGGUCUCUCAUUAAUCCCCUGUGGGUCAUCCAGGAAACAUACUCACCACUGUCUGUUCUCUGAGUUUUCAUUUCCAGGCAUCCGCCCUGCCUGGAUCUCCUCACCUGCCAGGAACUUCCUCUCCACAAGCCGGCCAUCCCAGCAAAAGUUCUAACACCAAAGAUGACUGCCAGGGGCAUGAAGGGGAUGUGCUUCCAGGGCAUUUGCUGGCAGGGCGUCUCGUGAUCUCUUGGUAUUGGUGUGAGCACAGCCUGGCAGGAGAGGGCAGAUCUCCAUGCAAAGUAUGUCAGAAAGCAGAUGGAAGCCAGGCCCCCUCCUGAAAGAGGCUCCUUGAAGGUAGGUGCACACUCAUGUCUUUGUUACUUGUAAGGGGGCAUCUUACAGGCAAGAGGAGUUAGGUGAAUGUGAAGAGGAAGGAACUACUCUGGGCAGGGGGCUGGGGGACGCUUCGUAGAGGAGGGGGUGUUUGAGCUGGGCCUUGAAGGUCAAAAGGGUUUUGUUAGGUGGGAAAUGGGGGAAGGACAGUCUGAAAGGGUUAGGUACAUUCAAGGAGCCCAGAGAAGGUUCGUGGCUGGAGCAGACGCAUUCGUAGAGUGAAGUCAUGGGAGAGAAGAGGCUGGGAAACUAGAUUGGUUCCAACUCCUAAAGGACCACUGAAGGAGUGUGGGCUGCACGCUGGGUGCAGCAGGUGAGUUUCCUCACUUGGGUUUCACUGUCAGCAUUUUAAAAAGGCAAACUGGU
This 1368-nucleotide long non-coding RNA is filed under the name Homo sapiens (human). Its description in RNAcentral is "non-protein coding LINC00894:24". The record is from RNAcentral. Lineage: Eukaryota; Metazoa; Chordata; Mammalia; Primates; Hominidae.